UGGGGAAUUUUGGACAAUGGGGGCAACCGUGAUCCAGCAAUGCCGCGUGUGUGAAGAAGGCCUUCGGGUUGUAAAGCACUUUUGUCCGGAAAGAAAACGUCGUGGUUAAUACCCGUGGCGGCUGACGGUACCGGAAGAAUAAGCACCGGCUAACUACGUGCCAGCAGCCGCGGUAAUACGUAGGGUGCAAGCGUUAAUCGGAAUUACUGGGCGUAAAGCGUGCGCAGGCGGUCCGCUAAGACAGAUGUGAAAUCCCCGGGCUUAACCUGGGAACUGCAUUUGUGACUGGCGGGCUAGAGUAUGGCAGAGGGGGGUAGAAUUCCACGUGUAGCAGUGAAAUGCGUAGAGAUGUGGAGGAAUACCGAUGGCGAAGGCAGCCCCCUGGGCCAAUACUGACGCUCAUGCACG
This 408-nucleotide ribosomal RNA is filed under the name uncultured bacterium. Its description in RNAcentral is "partial 16S ribosomal RNA". It matches the Rfam family "Bacterial small subunit ribosomal RNA", at positions 355 to 755 of the family's 1533-position model. The record is from RNAcentral.